ACUAAACGCUGGCGGCGUGCCUAACACAUGCAAGUCGUACGAGAAAGUCCCGUUCGCGGGAUGAGUAAAGUGGCGCACGGGUGAGUAAUGCGUGGAUAAUCUGCCCUUUAGUUGGGAAUAACGUGCCGAAAGGUGCGCUAAUACCCGAUAAUACUGCACAACUACUGUUGUGUAGUCAAAGAAGGCCUCUGUUUACAAGCUUUUGCUGAAGGAUGAGUCCGCGUACCAUUAGCUGGUUGGUGGGGUAAUGGCCUACCAAGGCUACGAUGGUUAGCUGGUCUGAGAGGAUGAUCAGCCACACUGGAACUGAGACACGGUCCAGACUCCUACGGGAGGCAGCAGUGAGGAAUAUUGCGCAAUGGGGGCAACCCUGACGCAGCAACGCCGCGUGAGUGAGGAAGGUUUUCGGACCGUAAAGCUCUGUCGAGCGGGAAGAAAUGCAUGGUGGCUAAUAUCCAUCAUGCUUGACGGUACCGCUAAAGGAAGCACC
RNAcentral lists this ribosomal RNA (490 nucleotides) under uncultured bacterium. RNAcentral describes it as "bacterial SSU rRNA". It matches the Rfam family "Bacterial small subunit ribosomal RNA", at positions 30 to 494 of the family's 1533-position model. The record is from RNAcentral.